UUGGAUCAUCUUCUUAGGAUCUUUUUCUUUUAACAGGAUAGAGAUCAGUUGCUCGACUGGUUCACCCCUUUUUUUAUUUUCUCUUUGGUCUAAUUUAUCGACGAACAAAAAGUCUUCAGAUUGAUUAUUCUUUAUAGAGACCAUGAAGCAACGUCGAGCAAGUCAUUGAUCUCUAUACAUUUUUUUGACUCUAUUUUUUGUUAUAAAUUAGAUCAAUAAAUGAUAUGUUGAGACUACUGC
This 240-nucleotide long non-coding RNA is filed under the name Elaeis guineensis (African oil palm). RNAcentral describes it as "long non-coding RNA (EGUI_LNC040616)". The record is from RNAcentral. Lineage: Eukaryota; Viridiplantae; Streptophyta; Magnoliopsida; Arecales; Arecaceae.